This 495-nucleotide ribosomal RNA is filed under the name uncultured bacterium. RNAcentral's name for it is "partial 16S ribosomal RNA". It matches the Rfam family "Bacterial small subunit ribosomal RNA", at positions 28 to 507 of the family's 1533-position model. The record is from RNAcentral.
GACGAACGCUGGCGGCGUGCCUAAUACAUGCAAGUAGAACGCUGAAGGAGGAGCUUGCUUCUCUGGAUGAGUUGCGAACGGGUGAGUAACGCGUAGGUAACCUGCCUGGUAGCGGGGGAUAACUAUUGGAAACGAUAGCUAAUACCGCAUAAGAGUAGAUGUUGCAUGACAUUUGCUUAAAAGGUGCAAUUGCAUCACUACCAGAUGGACCUGCGUUGUAUUAGCUAGUUGGUGGGGUAACGGCUCACCAAGGCGACGAUACAUAGCCGACCUGAGAGGGUGAUUGGCCACACUGGGACUGAGACACGGCCCAGACUCCUACGGGAGGCAGCAGUAGGGAAUCUUCGGCAAUGGACGGAAGUCUGACCGAGCAACGCCGCGUGAGUGAAGAAGGUUUUCGGAUCGUAAAGCUCUGUUGUAAGAGAAGAACGAGUGUGAGAGUGGAAAGUUCACACUGUGACGGUAUCUUACCAGAAAGGGACGGCUAACUACGUG